Molecule: ribosomal RNA, 393 nt
Filed under: Triticum aestivum (bread wheat)
Lineage: Eukaryota; Viridiplantae; Streptophyta; Magnoliopsida; Poales; Poaceae
Description: partial small subunit ribosomal RNA
Source: RNAcentral
AUGACUGAAUCAUUCAACGAUAAGUAUUUAGGGCUGCCUGCUACAGUUGGGUUGGAUAGAACAGAUUGUUUCCAUUACUUAAUCGAUAGAAUUAUUCAGAAAAUCAGUGGGUGGAAGGAAAAGGUAUUAUCAUCAGGUGGGAAGGAGGUGUUACUUAAAUCAGUGGCUCAGGCAAUACCAUCGUACGCUAUGUCGGUCUUUAAAAUUCCUAAAAAGGUUUGCAAGGGAAUUACAGAUACGAUAGCGCAAUACUGGUGGGGCGACGACGCUACUCAUAAGAGGAUGCACUGGUUCGCCUGGUGGAAGAUGUGUGUCCCAAAAAAAGAGGGGGGAUUCGAGAUAUACACUGCUUUAACCUUGCUUUGUUGGCCAAACAAGCAUGGCACUGAUUGA